RNAcentral lists this long non-coding RNA (6670 nucleotides) under Heterocephalus glaber (naked mole-rat). Its description in RNAcentral is "lncRNA (ENSHGLG00100044870.1)". Lineage: Eukaryota; Metazoa; Chordata; Mammalia; Rodentia; Bathyergidae. The record is from RNAcentral.
CCCCGCGCCUUGCGUCACGCCCCCAGGAUGACGUCGAAGGCCACCCUGGCCGGCCACGUGGGCCGCUGCCCCCGAGACCCGCGUGGCAGCAGCGGUGCCCAGCGUGGGGAGCGGAGGGAGCGCGCAGGCUCCUCGGGGCGGUCCUCGAGCCUGACUGGAGCCCGGGUCCUGGCCCAAACUCAGCCGGCCCUGAGGGGUUGAGGGACCGGGACCGCGGGCGCGACCGCCCCGGGCGCCUCCUCCCCGGCCGGCACCGCGAGGCGCUCUCCGCGCCAGUUCUGCCCCGGGCCCCGCCGCGCUCUCCCGACCCGCCCUCCGCUUCCCAGGACCUUGCUGAGCCCGGCGCACUGCGCGGGAGGGCGCGACAGUGCUGCCCCAGCUGUGCCCGGGACAUCGCCUGCGCCCCGAGCCCCGGUCGCCGGGGUGGUGCGCCCGCGCUCGGUGCCACGUCGGAACUGCCCGGAGCGCGCGGUGAUGGCGCGGGACCCUCCUCCCGGGUCCCGGCGAGCGGAGGAGGGCGGAGCGGGCCCGGGCCGCUGAGCCCCUGGGUCCCCGCCGCGAGGCGCCGGGCUGCUCAGCAUCCUCCCCUCCGCGGGAGCCGGGCAGGGGCACACGCGUCGCCCUCCAGUGGGGGCUCCUGGCCGGCGAGCAGCCCCGAGGACGCUGCGCGGGAGGCCCGUCCGGGAGCGCACACGAGGGCACCCAGCGCUACGGCGGUCGGAGGGGCCGCCCGGCCUCCGGUCUAUGGGAAAGCUCCACUGCGGUGCACCCGGCUUGGUGCGGAGCCUGCGCCGACAGCGUGUGAGGCGCUCGGGCUUCCGCGCGUAACCCCCGGGCGCGGCGGAGCCUACCUUGCUCAGCUGUGCAUGCAGCCGUCCUCAGCUGCCUGCGCGGCCCGGCGGGGCGGGAGCAGUGUCCAGGGCCGAGGUGAUGGAGCUCAGAUGGACUUGAGACGGUCGGCCAGAAAGCAGAGGAAAUUUACAAACAACAUUUAAAAAGUGGGGUGGAGAUUGCUUGGCUCCGACGAUUGCCAACCUGUGAGACCCCAGAGGCUUCGAAGCUUCGAGCUUCCAGCCUGGAGCAGCGUUGUGCAGUGCUGUGUCUUAGUACCCUGCGAGAGUCCCGAUGCUCAUGGCUCAAGCAACGAGGACACUCAAUUACAGGGAAACUGUCACAUGCAAAAAAGAGUUCUAGCAGCAAGAACAGGAAUAUGAGCAGCGGUCCUGUCACGCGAAGUAUGACUACAGGAAAGAGUAGGACUGUGAACAGCACGGACUUCCCAACUCCUCUUCGCCUUGCAUGUUCAGGUAGUUUAAAAGUCUUGAUUGUGGUCGUGAUUAAGUAUCCAUGGCUUCUUACAUUUUUAAAGAGUUGUUCUGUGACUAACAUGCAAUAUGUCCUUGGGAAAAACCCACAUGAACCUGAGAAGAAUGUGCAUUCUGCUGCUGCUGGAAUAAUGUUCUGUAUGCAUGCAUCAUUACCAUUUGGUCUGGAGUGUAUUAUGCAGCACUCUGAGAAGGUAAAAAAGGUGCAUCCCCAUCUUCAUCAGGGGAGCAAAAUUGCCAUGUUUUCCACUUCGCCACAUUGACAUCUGAGGGAGGCUCUGCUAUUCCUGGGUGCAGGUCGAACUCUGGCUCGUCCUUUGAUUUCCACUGCUGUGCCCCAGCUGUCACGAGUGUGUUAAUGCAGCCUGUGUGUCCUGCACUGACACAGCAGCUGGAGGCAGUGGGAAAGCCCUGGAUCCCUGCAUGCCUCAUGGACCUCAUCCCAGGGUGGAGUAGGACUAGUGCCUCAUGACUGCAGCUGGACGGAAGCUCUGGUUUCCCUGAGUCUCCUUGAUGUCUCAGAGCUCUGAGGUCUUCUCACAAGCAGACAGACAGUGCUGGUUUCCUCUUCCCUCUCUGACACCACUGAGGGCAGCUGAUGACGGUGACAAUCCAGGCUCCUCGCUGAAGCUUUGCUCUGGGCAGGGUGGCACCACAGCCUGUUCUGCAGUGUUUGGCUGGAGUAGAGCAGAGUCUGUCUCCAAGUUCGCUGUCUUGCUGGGCGGCCCCUUCGGUGAGCUGCUGGCUGAAGAGAAAAGGCUUCCAGGAGGCAUUGCUGUGGUUGUCUGCACUUGUUGGCAUUUCUGGGUGGCCACGUUCUUCACUGCAUAUGCGAGGUUUAUAAAGCAAAAAGAAAAUCCCAGGAGACUCACCACUGUGUCAUUGCUUAAAUCCCAAGGUCUCGAGCCAAUCUGCCUUCUAUUCUUCACAUUUCAAGGCCUUCUUAUCUCUGUCUCCUGUGUAAUUUUCAAGGUUUUUAGUUGUGCUCAGUAGAAGAAAUAAGGAAAAGCAUAUCUGCUUCCCCCCUCCCCUGUGAGAACUAAUGUGAUUACUUGCUUUCGUAAAGUCUACAUAACUUAACAAAACAUACUGUAUGGGGAAGAUAAUAGAUCUGUAAAAUCUAAUUGUGUUUGAAAUAAUUCCUAUCAAAUUAGGUCAGAAAGACAAACUAAAAAAUCGAAAGCUUCUGCAAUGGGAUUGCAUUUCAAGUGUCUCUAGAUUCUCACAAAACCCCAGGGAAAUCAUAAUUGGAAAUUAAAGAAGUUGGACUAAUCUUAUGGCAGAAGAGACAGAUGGUACUAAUUAGGGGACAUGAGCCUGUGUCCCUUUCCUUACCAAUGCCAUAACUGUAUAUUAAAAGAUAGAAAAAUUACUGCAUACAUAUGUGUACAGUUGAAACAUAAUAUAUUUAAAGUUAACUUUUAACUCUUGACAGGGAAGAAAUGGAAGGUGCUCAUUUUCAAUGCAGUGCUAGAACUUGACUUCCCACUUUCAGGGAUAUUCCUUUCAAUUAGAUAAGCCAGGAAAGUUAAGACACCUGUAGAAAGUUUUGAAUUUUCAACAAGACUUAGAUAAUGACUGCCUAAACUCUGCAUGUCUGACUGAACUAGAAAAGCCAAUGUGCAGAGCAACUCUAGCUUAGCAUCAAUGUGCUGCACAUCACUUUAAAGUGUGCCUCCAAUGGGAAUGUGGUCAUUGUUUGCACAUGUGCACACUCACUGUCACACACACAUGAAGAUCCUUUGGGAAACACAGCUCACCAAGCCUUGCACCUGCACUUCUGGGUGGCAGUAACCUGACAUUGGAACCACUGUGAUGGGGAUGUCAUUUUCCAUUCUCUCUGGACAGCAGAACAGAUGCUGUCUUGGACUUCAAAGAGAUUUGACUACUCUCUGAGUUUCAAUAAUGAACAACAACUUUUCACAGCCUAGUUUUCAAAAAGUGUAACAAAAUAUACAAAGGGAAAAGAUCAAGGAAGAAUUCAUCGGUCUUUCCUUUCUGAAAUCUUUUGAGGGACAGAAAGGAAGUCAAACUAAAAACAUUUGAUCUUUCCCAGGAACCUGGGCUGGACUGUAUUUAUUGGUUUUCAAAUCAGAUGGUUUACUCUAUGGCCUGAGAUCACGGUAAAGGGCCCAAGUGUAUAAUGAGAAGAUUGGCUUUGGGAGAUCAUUUGUAUAGAUACAUAUAUGUUAAAAGAUAUGCAUAAAAAUAGAAAACCCAGUUGGUGCUAAACAUGUCCCUUUUCUGUGCUUUUCUUUUGCUAGCUUAUCUAAUACUAGCUCUUGAAUUUAGCUUACAUAAUACAAUUGCAAGACAGUAAUAAAAAAAGACUCAAUAGUUUUGAGUAUUCUGAUAUGCAGGUAAGUUCUAGAAAGAAUAUAGACAAGUGUUCUAACCAAAAAAAUUAAGAAUAUUUCCAACACUGUUAGAAAAUUUGUAAUUGACUGAUAUAAUUCAAGAUUUUUAAAAAUCAGGAUAAUGUUUUUUUGUUAAUACCGUACCACAAUUACAAAUAUCUUCAAGAGAAGCAGGUAAAGAUCUGAGUUCUAAGUCUGCCAAACAUCACUCUGGGAGGCUGAUGUAGCAGGAUUGCAAGCUUGUGCCAGCCUGGGCAACUUAGCCACUCAGUGAGAUCCUGACUCAAAAUGUUUAAAAAUGAGAAUGAGUUGGACAUGUAGCUCAGUGAGGCCUUGGGAUCAAUGCCUAGUACUGGAAAAAAAAUCUGUGGAAGCUCAGUGGGAGAAAAUUAAUUCUAUUGGAUUGGCAUAAAAUAUGAAAACCUAUACAAGAAAUUGAACUAUUAUUGUUUCAUUAAUUUUUCAUAAAUUUUCUUUUCUAGUCUUUUAUUUCUUCCUGUGUCAUUUUCUCUCUUUUUGGUGAAAUUGAAACAGUACUCCCUUAAGAUUAUUUGUAGGGAUGCCCCUCAAGUACUUUUAUCUGCGAGGCCCUGCUUCAGGCAAAUCACAAACUAUCACAGUCAGUGGUGAGGCAAAAGUCGAAGGGCCUCACUGGUGUAUGUUUUUUAGCCUUACUCUUCCUAAUCAGUAUGUAUGUCUUACAUACCUUAACAUUUGUUUUAAGUAUACAAUUCACUGAUGUUUAGUGAUUUACCAAGUUGUACAACUAUUACCAGAGUCCAGUUAUAAAACGUUUCCUUCAUCCUAAAGAAAAGAUUCUAGAUGUUUGAAAUCAUAGGAGGGUAUUUCUGCACAAACACUGCAUACUAUCUAAUGAUCUCAUAGUGUGUACCAACAUCCUCAGCAUAGCUGAGAUAUCAGGCAGCUCUGAAACAUCAGUAUUGCCAUGUUGAAUCAGAUAAAUGCUCACCUCACCCUAAACAGAAUAAAGUAAUAAAACAAAGUAAUAAAAUCUGUAAGUAGCUUCUGUUUGAGUCAGAUUUGGCCUAUAAAGGAGCUCAGGUAGAGACAUCCAAUGAACUAGGAAAUGAUUUCAGUGUUUCGUUUUGAAAUUCCAAGUAACGUAUUAACCUGAAAUACUCCUUGUGAGAAUUUAAGAGUAAGUAAGGUGGUUAACAUAGCGCCAAAUACUCGGCCAACCAACUCUCUCGCUCUCCCACCCCCUAUCUCCCUCCGUGUGAUAGAGCUUGCAGAACAGUUUACAGAGUACUGUCUAUGUGGCCAGGGGCCCUCAUCCCCAGAUCUUCUGCCUUAUUAACUGGUGUUAAGAUAUUAGAGCAAAAUGGGAGCUGAUAUUUACUCAUUCUUAUAAAUCAGGCACUGUUCCUAAUAAUUUUCAUGUGCAUUAAUUCGGUCCUUAUAUCUGUCCUGUGAACCAGAUAGGCAUCAUCAUUUCCCGUUGCACAGAUAACAGUGUAUUGUAUCAGAUUGCUUUGGCUCAUAGAGCAGGGGAGGGUGGAAAGGAGCCUCAGAGUCAGGCACUCUGACCUCGCACCCACCUCCCAGUCCCAGGCUCUUACCUGGCAGGAAUGUGGCUUCAACUCUAGGUGGGCACUGGUGCCCUAAUUCUGAAAUACAGAAAGAACAAAACUGUGUAUCUGAAUUUACUUGAUGUUGCAAACUCUUAAUGUUUUAGAACUACAAAAGAUUGUAGUGUUUACAUAAUCCAAAUUAAUAUUUUAAACUAAAGGAAAUAAGAUCUUUAGUUAAGGAAAAAAACCUCAAGACCUCAGGAUAUCAAGCAACUUAAGGUCAGACAAAUAAUGGAAGACUAAAUUCUAGAUCCACUAGUUCCUUGACAAACACUCCUUGUUGAAUCCCGAAACAUCAUCUAAUGAAAUUAUACAUAUGGUCAAAUAAUAAUGGUCAAACAGAGUAAUCCAAAUUUUGUGUUUGGGGAGUAAAUAAUAAUGCAUCACUGCAUAAUUGUUUGAUAUUCUGUAAUAAAAGAGGUAUAGAGAAGACAGAGGUAUGGAGUGGAUCUAUUGUAGAGAGAGGUACAUAGUAGAGUAGAUAUGGAGUAGAUAAUGGAAGAAUUGAGCACAACCCGGUGUAUGGAAACAUCGAGAGCAGAGUAAUUAAUUCCUCUGUGACUAUAUGACACAAAUAGAAAAAAGAAAACACAGAAGAGGCACCUUCUGAACUGGCUCUGGUAGAUGCAUAGAACUGCCUUGAAGACAAAGAGGAAGGCGGGCUGCAUCGAGGACGCUUGUCGGUCUGGUGGCUGGUCCAGCAAGCAGACCCACGGGAAGGUGCCCAGGCCCUGCACUGGCGAUCUUCUGCAGCCAGAAGUUCCUGUGAUCAGCCUAAGACUGCAGACACGUUUUCGCAGUAAGAAUCUCGAGCCUUACAUGCCGACGGUGCUUUGUUUAGCUGCAGUUUCAGAACCCUAAAGCUCUUUAUUGCUUCUGUGGGCACUUAGGAGAUACUUUCAAUUCUUUUGGCUUCUUUGAUUUCUUCUAAUGAAGCGAGAGUAAGACAGGACCCUUGUACCUCUCUUUGAGUCACACUAUCCUGGUAUAGUCUCUGGAUCAGAGUAGAAACUUAAUGUAAAUAUUUUAACAAAAAAUGUUUAUUGGGCACAACAUACAGCAUUUUAUGUGCAUUUUUGUUUUAAUUCUAACAUUAGCCCUAUGAAAAGAUACCAAGAUUAGUCCAGAGAACUGAAAUUUAGAGACUGAGAGCAAGCUGUUUAAUGUGUAGACUUCCAACAAAACACAGACUCAUGUUGUCUACCUGCCUUUAACAUUUUCAAAAUGUGCUGGUCAUUUAUUAUUAUUUUCAUGACGUUACUGGCUCAUAAUUUUCUCAGUGUAAGAUAUAUUUUAUGUGAACUGAUACAGAAUUUCAAGGUGCCAUGUUUGUAUGGGAUGGAAAAUCAGGAAAAGUCAACAUGUUUUUCAAGAAAAUUAAAAAAUAUAAUACAAA